This 442-nucleotide ribosomal RNA is filed under the name uncultured bacterium. Its description in RNAcentral is "partial 16S ribosomal RNA". It matches the Rfam family "Bacterial small subunit ribosomal RNA", at positions 338 to 795 of the family's 1533-position model. The record is from RNAcentral.
CCUACGGGGGGCAGCAGUGGGGAAUAUUGGGCAAUGGGCGCAAGCCUGACCCAGCAACGCCGCGUGAAGGAAGACGGCUUUCGGGUUGUAAACUUCUUUUAAGAGGGAAGAGCAGAAGACGGUACCUCUUGAAUAAGCCACGGCUAACUACGGGCCAGCAGCCGCGGUAAUACGUAGGUGGCAAGCGUUGUCCGGAUUUACUGGGUGUAAAGGGCGUGCAGCCGGGAAGACAAGUCAGAUGUGAAAUCCCGCGGCUCAACCGCGGAACUGCAGUUGAAACUGUUUUUCUUGAGUACCGGAGAGGUCAGCGGAAUUCGUGGUGUAGCGGUGAAAUGCGUAGAUAUAAGGAAGAACACCAGUGGCGAAGGCGGUUUACUGGACCACAACUGACGCUGAGACACGAAAGCGUGGGGAGCAAACAGGAUUAGAUACCCGAGUAGUC